CUCCCACCAUUUAGAUCUCUAAAGUUCACAUCUGGGUAUUUAUUGAACAGUCUUCUAGCUUAUUCCACAGCUUCUCAGAAAGGAAAGCACCACACAAGCACUAUUUUUAUACAGGUUUGGAGCUGUAUCUGCAAUAACCCCAGAUGUCUCUAUCUCUUCCUGCUCUACUGCACCAAACUAGAUACUGUCAGCAAGAAGCAACUCCUUGACCUGGUGAAUCCACCCAAGCAACACAGAGUCAAACAUCAGCAGAGAGAUGGUGAAUCCAGAAAAAACAUGUGAGACUGUUGCAGUGCAGGAAAGCCCACAGACCCCCCCCUGUUGCCUUGGUCAAAUAAUAACUGGACAGCUUCAGCUCAGCCUCCUAGCUUCUUCUGGAGGCUCUUGGCUGCCAGUCUUGUGGGAAGCAGGGGAGUUUCCUAUGUAUCUUGAAGUCCUUUCCAUGUGGAAAGGCCUUUUCUGACUUAAGAAUAUUUGUCAGCUAUUUGGGAACUUUAUAUUAUUUCUGGAAAUAAAGACAAAGAUGCUAAUUUAUUAAGAAAAGAAGGGCACAGGGUAUCCUGCAUAAAGUCUCCAGCCUGAAGCUGAUGCCACUGUACUUGAAGUGCCAGCAUUUUUUUUUGUGGAAAACUUGAUCCAUGUCUGCUCCAAGAAGAAAUUGCCCAGAAGAUUAAAAUAAUGACACUGAAGUCACCAGUUGUAAUCAUCUGAAUCCCUUAUGCCUCAGGAAUUGCUGAGCUUACACAUAUAUAAGCCGACAUCCUUCUUUGAUUCAUUCAAACUACUCUUCAGAAUUCCUUUGCUUUGUUGCAACUGACUAGAACAUUAAAAAGAGAGCUACUUUGAAGGACCAAUAAGAUGUGUGUGUGUAUUCUGGUACAUGUGCCAAAACUUUGGUCCUUAUCUGUAAAUAGUGAAAGGCACCUUUUUCACUGGGGGCAGAUGCUUAAGUGCCAUUGAGAAACAGAGCUUUACUGGGAAAUUAUGUAAACUUAUUUUUUAUUUUUUUUUUAUCCUUUCUUUUUAUGAUCCAUUUAAUUCAGACUGUAAACAUUUUGUGGAAGGAAGUAACCUUUACUGUUUAAGCAUACUGGCUGCUUAAUACAUGACCAAUUGCCAUAAAUAAAUAAUCAGUCCAGUUCA
This is a long non-coding RNA of Anas platyrhynchos (mallard), 1143 nucleotides long. RefSeq lists it as uncharacterized. Lineage: Eukaryota; Metazoa; Chordata; Aves; Anseriformes; Anatidae. The record is from RefSeq and is a predicted model, not a curated record.